CUUAGAAGAUGAACGGUAAUUGGAAUGAGAUUCUUGGAAGAGACCAAAAGUUGGAACAAAAAAGAGUUUGUUUUUUGAUAAUUGGUAUGAGUUGUUGUGGGACUAUGUUCCAAGUUCCAACACCGAGUGUGUGUGUUUUCAGAACCGUAAAAAUGUUGUAAUUUAAGGUUUAUUGUUUUUAACGGCGGUUUCGGUGUUGUGCUGGUUCAUUUCAUAUUCAUUUCACGAGAUUGAAUUGACUUGAAUUGAAUUGAAAUUGAAAAGAAACUUAAGAAAGUAAUUAAAGUCUUUUUUGUAGCUGAGCUGUAUAUGUAGGGACUCUACUCUAC
RNAcentral lists this long non-coding RNA (329 nucleotides) under Trifolium pratense (red clover). Its description in RNAcentral is "long non-coding RNA (TPRA_LNC007134)". The record is from RNAcentral. Lineage: Eukaryota; Viridiplantae; Streptophyta; Magnoliopsida; Fabales; Fabaceae.